RNAcentral lists this ribosomal RNA (296 nucleotides) under uncultured bacterium. RNAcentral describes it as "partial 16S ribosomal RNA". It matches the Rfam family "Bacterial small subunit ribosomal RNA", at positions 29 to 339 of the family's 1533-position model. The record is from RNAcentral.
AACGAACGCUGGCGGCGUGAUUUAGGCAUGCAAGUCGAACGGGGCCGCAAGGCCUAGUGGCAAAAGGGUGCGUAAUCCAUCGAUGAUCUGCCCUUCGGUCGGGGACAACAGCGGGAAACUGCUGCUAAUACCCGAUAGUCCAGAGAUGGUAAAGGCGGGACGCAAGGCCUGCCACCGAGGGAGGAGUCGAUGGCCUAUCAGCUUGUUGGNGAGGUAACGCUCACCGAAGGCGAAGACGGGUAGCCGGACUGAGAGGUUGGACGGCCACACUGGGACUGAGACACUGCCCAGACUCC